AGUCGACGGUAACAGGAAGCAGCUUGCUGCUUCGCUGACGAGUGGCGGACGGGUGAGUAAUGUCUGGGAAACUGCCUGAUGGAGGGGGAUAACUACUGGAAACGGUAGCUAAUACCGCAUAACGUCGCAAGACCAAAGAGGGGGACCUUCGGGCCUCUUGCCAUCGGAUGUGCCCAGAUGGGAUUAGCUAGUAGGUGGGGUAACGGCUCACCUAGGCGACGAUCCCUAGCUGGUCUGAGAGGAUGACCAGCCACACUGGAACUGAGACACGGUCCAGACUCCUACGGGAGGCAGCAGUGGGGAAUAUUGCACAAUGGGCGCAAGCCUGAUGCAGCCAUGCCGCGUGUAUGAAGAAGGCCUUCGGGUUGUAAAGUACUUUCAGCGGGGAGGAAGGGAGUAAAGUUAAUACCUUUGCUCAUUGACGUUACCCGCAGAAGAAGCACCGGCUAACUCCGUGCCAGCAGCCGCGGUAAUACGGAGGGUGCAAGCGUUAAUCGGAAUUACUGGGCGUAAAGCGCACGCAGGCGGUUUGUUAAGUCAGAUGUGAAAUCCCCGGGCUCAACCUGGGAACUGCAUCUGAUACUGGCAAGCUUGAGUCUCGUAGAGGGGGGUAGAAUUCCAGGUGUAGCGGUGAAAUGCGU
Molecule: ribosomal RNA, 641 nt
Filed under: Enterobacteriaceae bacterium HGPR44
Lineage: Bacteria; Pseudomonadati; Pseudomonadota; Gammaproteobacteria; Enterobacterales; Enterobacteriaceae
Description: bacterial SSU rRNA
Rfam family: Bacterial small subunit ribosomal RNA
Source: RNAcentral